Molecule: long non-coding RNA, 2298 nt
Filed under: Sus scrofa (pig)
Lineage: Eukaryota; Metazoa; Chordata; Mammalia; Artiodactyla; Suidae
Description: lncRNA (ENSSSCG00040004008.1)
Source: RNAcentral
GUCGGCCACUCAGCUGCUGUGAGUUCAGAGAAAGGAGGCGAUGCUGGCUUUGAGGGAGACCCUUCCUUCCCCUCUGACCACUUCAUGUGUCACCCUGACGUGUCUCCUCCCGAAGACAGAGACCCUGCCUUUCUGGAUGGUUGUCAUCAGCCACCUUCUCCGCUGUGCUUGGAAUAAGUGCUUUGGUAGAGGCAGAGGACAUCGAGGUAGGUCUGCUGGGGAAUGGUCGUGGUGUCAGAAAACCGCACAGGGGCUUCUGAAGGUGGUCGGGGGUCUGGGUCUUAGAGUCCUGUCUGGCCCCUCUCAUCCCCAGACCCCCCUGUGUCCAUGAGUUUUCAUACAUCCAAGUGAAGUCAGAUCCGAGAAGUCUCCUCAAUGUUUCUGGCUGUCUAAGCGCCUGGAGGAAUUGUACCUCCUGGUCUACUGUGGUCGAGUGGAGCCACGUGACCAGUUGUGACCAAUGGGCUAUGAGCAGGAAGGGCCCUCGCUUUCCCUCUCCCACAAUGGCUGACAGUGUUCUAAACGGCGACCCAUCAACCUGUGUCUUGGAGUGAGGGCCAGAUAAAGCAGACCCUCAGCCAACCCCAUAUGGGCAUAUUGUGUGUGUGUGUGUGUGAAAAAAAAAUAAAUCUUUGUUGCGUUAAGUCACUGAGAAUUUAGAGCACCAUUUAUUACUACACUAGAGCCUACCACUCACCACAGUGGUUCUUAAACCUCUGGGUGUUUUUUUUUUUAAUAUUUUUAAAAAUUUUCCCAUUGUACAGCAAGGGGGUCAAGGUUAUCCUUACAUGUAUACAUUACAAUUACAUUUUUCCCCCUUGGUGUUUUGAGUCCAUUUUCCAACUCGGGAAUUCUUGUUAACGUACGUGAAGGGAUUAGAAAUCUCAUAGGACACGGGCAACUCCCCAUGUCAGUUUUUCAGUGUCUUUAUAGGCACCCACAGCUAUCAUUUUUCACCGCUGCGCCCUUUGCCUCAGUCAGUGCUCACCCAGUCCAGAUAAUCGUGAUUUCCUUAGAGCCCGCUGGCCAUGCGCCACACCCUUUCCCAUGCUUCCGACCUCGGCGCCUGACCUGCUUUAGAACCGUGUUCCAUCUGCCGUGGCGCCGGGAGAGUUUCAUCCUCUGUUGUUACUCACCGGUUACAUGGGAACUCGCCUCUUCCCACGGGCAACCCAGUACCCUUCCAGGCAAGCGAUCCCAGAGAUCACAGGAAAGAAAGGCUGCCAAACCAGGAGCAAGAGCUCGAAUCACACAGGGUCGUGAAGCCACCGAAAAGAGAGAGAUACACAGGGAGCUGAGCAGAUGCAGACACUUAGCACAGGGUACCAGGGGGCGGAAGGACCACGCUGCCUGAAUCCUGGGAUGGCCGAUGCUCUGUCUCGCUGCUGCCUCUGCCUUCCCCGCGGAUGCUGUGGGAACGGCUGUGGGUACGAGACCGCAGUUGAAGUUUGAGGUGCACAGAAGUCUGGAAGGUGCCUGGGGCCAAUGACGAGCUCACGCUCAGUCAGAGAGAUGCAGAGACAGCACGCCCAACCACAGCCGCCCCCGCCCGUCUCCAAUUAGCCUGAGGAACAGCCACGGUUAUUUGCAUUUCUUGGACACAUGGGGCCAGAACAGUGUAACCAAUGGGUGGCUGAAUAUUGAGUGCCUCGUAUGCCUCAUGUAUAUUUAGUUGAUUAUGAAUAUGUAGUGCCUCAGGUGCCUUGAAUAUAUUUAGUGCCUCAUGAAUAUUUCGUGUCUCUUGUAUAUUUAGGACCUCAUGAAUAGUAGGCAUCGCCUGCUCCUUCCAUCUCUUUUUAUCUUUGUUCACCCAUCUGUGCUGCCUUAUCUAACAUCUCCCCGACCCCGGUACUGGCUUGCUUAUCAGUGACAAAGUUCAUCCAGCCCACUUGUUUACCUGUUUUCUGUGGCAGACCUGAAUCUUCUCAAACAGCAAAAACAUUACAUCCGUUGUAGCAAACACCAAAUUGUCUGUCUUGGCCAGAAUUUUCUUCUGUGACGUCCAUGGGGUGCCUCAGCCUACUGCUCAGGCACUUUUGAGGCACAUAAUUGGCACAACCAGCCAGCGAGGUCAGUUUUCUUAUGCUUGCUUUCCACAUGGGGACGUUGAAACACAGAGAGGUUUCGAAACUUGCCAGAGGCCACACAGCUGGUAAGAAGCACAAAAGAAUUUGAACUCAGGAGUUGCCUGGUGGUGCAGCAGGUUGAGGAUGCUGGGGCACAGGUUCGAUCUCUGGCUCCAGAACUUCCAAAUGCCAUGGAUGCGGCAAAAAAAAAAAAAAAAAAAAAAAAAAAAAA